CUAGUUGUACCAAUAACUAACCCCAAGGAAUUGGACUCAGAAGAGCAAUACAAAUUGCAGCCUUGCCACUUACGAGCUGAGAGAUCUUAGCCAAAAUAACUCAAUCUGUCUGAGUUGUAUUUUUUAUCAGUCGACUGAAGAUGAAUAAUAUUCAGGCUACAAGUUUAUCAAAGAGUUAAUAGGAAUUUUCUGGAUUUGGAAAGAGGCGUCAGUUUCAACCUGACCUUUCAAUACAGCUUCUGCAGCUUGAACGCACAUGCACCACUUGGGCUGAUGUCUUCCAAGAAGGUGUGGACUCUGAGCAAUAGUCUGGCUAUGGGAAGAGAUGGAGUCCAUGUUGCCUCGCCUGGUCUUGGACUAUUGGCCUCAAGCGAUCAUCCUACCUCAGCCUCUCAAAGUGCUAGCAUUCAAGCUCACAAACAAGAGUUUUGAACCUAGGCAGGCUAAGCAGUGAUCUUGAGGACUGAAAGGGGAAACUGCUGUCAAUUAAUAGGACAUCAAACACCCAUACUCUACUGGAAAAAUGUGUCCACAGACAUUUGCUUGAGAGGAGGAGGUGGCUGGUGAAGAGCCCUAUGGUUGCUCUCCUGUGUCUUCACUCUUAGCAGCUACAACAUGCACAAGAUUCAGUGCAUUCAAUAAUUAGUUCUCAGCAUCCUGUGAACUGGCGAUCUAUUUCCAGAAUGAUUUAGUGCAGUUUCCUCUAAGUCCAUGCUAAAAGAGGAAAUAAUUAGGCUCAGAAGCAUUUAACUUAAAACUGGUGUUUCUACUUAUCUACAAUGACUGUGCUAAUUAGGCCUCUCAUAAAUUUCUCUGACAUACUUCACUCUACAACCUCGAGCCUUUACCUCAUGUGUUCCCCUGGGAUCUAGAAUGGUGCUGGAAAACCACUGAGAUGGGAGCCUCUUAGUCUGGACUCCCUGGAGGAAGAGUAAUUCACUUAAGGUUACGACACUCUUAUAUAAACAUAUUCAAACAUGAUUUUUUUUUUUUUGCCCUAACUGCAUAUUCAAGUCAAUCUGCUAGGGGUAAAAAAAUGUUGGCCUAGGCCGGGCGCGGUGGCUCACGCCUG
This 1072-nucleotide long non-coding RNA is filed under the name Homo sapiens (human). RNAcentral's name for it is "HSALNT0327037". Lineage: Eukaryota; Metazoa; Chordata; Mammalia; Primates; Hominidae. The record is from RNAcentral.